UCAGUGGUGGCAAUAAGAUUAAUGGUUCGAUUCAGCCAGCAGAUUUCCUCAACUUGAAAUUUAAGAAGAGGGAGCUUUGGUAUCCUACUCUUUUCCCCC
RNAcentral lists this small nucleolar RNA (99 nucleotides) under Cajanus cajan (pigeon pea). Its description in RNAcentral is "snoRNA gene-KK1_002381". The record is from RNAcentral. Lineage: Eukaryota; Viridiplantae; Streptophyta; Magnoliopsida; Fabales; Fabaceae.